Molecule: ribosomal RNA, 1508 nt
Filed under: Psychrobacter sp. KJF5-3
Lineage: Bacteria; Pseudomonadati; Pseudomonadota; Gammaproteobacteria; Moraxellales; Moraxellaceae
Description: bacterial SSU rRNA
Rfam family: Bacterial small subunit ribosomal RNA
Source: RNAcentral
CUGGCUCAGAUUGAACGCUGGCGGCAGGCUUAACACAUGCAAGUCGAGCGGAAACGAUGAUAGCUUGCUAUCAGGCGUCGAGCGGCGGACGGGUGAGUAAUACUUAGGAAUCUACCUAGUAGUGGGGGAUAGCACGGGGAAACUCGUAUUAAUACCGCAUACGACCUACGGGAGAAAGGGGGCAGUUUACUGCUCUCGCUAUUAGAUGAGCCUAAGUCGGAUUAGCUAGAUGGUGGGGUAAAGGCCUACCAUGGCGACGAUCUGUAGCUGGUCUGAGAGGAUGAUCAGCCACACCGGGACUGAGACACGGCCCGGACUCCUACGGGAGGCAGCAGUGGGGAAUAUUGGACAAUGGGGGAAACCCUGAUCCAGCCAUGCCGCGUGUGUGAAGAAGGCCUUUUGGUUGUAAAGCACUUUAAGCAGUGAAGAAGACUCCGUGGUUAAUACCCACGGACGAUGACAUUAGCUGCAGAAUAAGCACCGGCUAACUCUGUGCCAGCAGCCGCGGUAAUACAGAGGGUGCAAGCGUUAAUCGGAAUUACUGGGCGUAAAGGGAGCGUAGGUGGCUCUAUAAGUCAGAUGUGAAAUCCCCGGGCUCAACCUGGGAACUGCAUCUGAAACUGUAGAGCUAGAGUAUGUGAGAGGAAGGUAGAAUUCCAGGUGUAGCGGUGAAAUGCGUAGAGAUCUGGAGGAAUACCGAUGGCGAAGGCAGCCUUCUGGCAUAAUACUGACACUGAGGCUCGAAAGCGUGGGUAGCAAACAGGAUUAGAUACCCUGGUAGUCCACGCCGUAAACGAUGUCUACUAGUCGUUGGGUCCCUUGAGGACUUAGUGACGCAGCUAACGCAAUAAGUAGACCGCCUGGGGAGUACGGCCGCAAGGUUAAAACUCAAAUGAAUUGACGGGGGCCCGCACAAGCGGUGGAGCAUGUGGUUUAAUUCGAUGCAACGCGAAGAACCUUACCUGGUCUUGACAUAUCUAGAAUCCUGCAGAGAUGCGGGAGUGCCUUCGGGAAUUAGAAUACAGGUGCUGCAUGGCUGUCGUCAGCUCGUGUCGUGAGAUGUUGGGUUAAGUCCCGCAACGAGCGCAACCCUUGUCCUUAGUUACCAGCGGGUUAAGCCGGGAACUCUAAGGAUACUGCCAGUGACAAACUGGAGGAAGGCGGGGACGACGUCAAGUCAUCAUGGCCCUUACGACCAGGGCUACACACGUGCUACAAUGGUAGGUACAGAGGGCAGCUACACAGCGAUGUGAUGCGAAUCUCAAAAAGCCUAUCGUAGUCCAGAUUGGAGUCUGCAACUCGACUCCAUGAAGUAGGAAUCGCUAGUAAUCGCGGAUCAGAAUGCCGCGGUGAAUACGUUCCCGGGCCUUGUACACACCGCCCGUCACACCAUGGGAGUUGAUUGCACCAGAAGUGGAUAGCUUAACCUUCGGGGAGGCGUUCACCACGGUGUGGUUGAUGACUGGGGUGAAGUCGUAACAAGGUAGCCGUAGGGGAACCUGCGGCUG